GGAAGGUCAACCCGACGGUAGGCGACGGGAGCGGUCUUGAAAACCGCCGAGGCGUAACAGCGCCUUGUGAGUUCGAUCCUCACAUCUUCC
Molecule: transfer RNA, 90 nt
Filed under: Ishigurovirus osborne
Lineage: Duplodnaviria; Heunggongvirae; Uroviricota; Caudoviricetes; Pantevenvirales; Straboviridae
Description: Aeromonas phage 65 Selenocysteine transfer RNA
Rfam family: Selenocysteine transfer RNA
Source: Rfam by way of RNAcentral